GCUGUGUCAUGGGUGUGCGUCCUCAACCUUGGCAAAAUAAACUUUCCAAAUUAACUGAGACCUAUCUCAGAUUUUCGGGGUUCAUAAGGCUAAGGAAGUAUUGUCUCAGGGAUUUUUAUUUUUUACUGUUUUGCUCGGAAGGAAGCAGGAAGUAGUUCCCCUAAACACUUCCCCAGCUUGGCAUUCUCAAGGUGGCUCUCAGCUCCCUGGCCUCCAGAGGUGUCUCCUUUUUCUCUUUUCCUCAUUGUCUGGCACAUAGAGGGGAGAGAAACCAUUUUUUAUUUUACGUUAUUUUUUAUUUUUUAAUUUUAAUUUUAAUUUGAGACGGAGUUUCACUCUCAUUGCCCAAGCUGGAGUGCAAUGGCGUGAUCUCAGCUCACUGCAGCCUCCUGUCAGAGAUGAUAAAUUCCUCUUCAAAAAGGUUUAGUUCUCUGUUCUUUGUUUCUUAAGACCAACUUCCUUGUACAUCCUUGUCUCCUAGCUACCUGUUCUGUAAACAGCCUUCCUGCCUUCGCCAGGCCCAGACAAGUCCAGAUAUGCCUUCCCACCUAGUAACGGAUAGUUCCUCUUCCUUCCCACCUAAUAGACCCUAUUCAAUUUUAAAUCUUAGCCAAUCGAAUUAGCUUAGAUUGUGAAGUCCAACCCCAGCCAAUGCGGAAAGGACACAGAAGUGCUAGGAACUGCAUUAGGGAUUAAAAACCCCUGCCCUACCCUGCUUGGUGUGCUCUUGCGAUUGUGACUAGCACAAGCUGCACCCUUCUGCAGAAGUAAAUUUGCCUUGCUGAGGAAUUUUCUGCCUAUGUGCUGUUUUUCUUUGUGGCACCAGGCACUUGUUUCUAACAAACUUGGGGGUUCAUCUGGGAUUCCCAUUCUCCUCCGGGGAGGGUCUCAGAUCAUUUCUCGUGAGGAGACGCAGCCCGCUGCUUUGUUGCGGUGGCCUCAAGGGUAAGGGAUCGAGACCCACCUGGUGUGAUGAAUAAACCUGGACUCUAGCAAUGAGGGAAGAAAAGGCAGACAGAUACUGUGGCGACCAGGUAACUCUGUGCAUAGACCAAGCUACAGUCCCUGUUUUCUCCCCCAGAGAAAAAGAAAAGUUAAAAGAAAUAGGAGCCAAAGAAAGUCACGAGGGAAGAUGGGUACAACCAGACAAGAAGGAAAUGCUGUCUAAGCCCUUCAUGCGAGAGGACUCAAGGCCUCCUAGCACAAACUCCACCCAUUGAAUUACCAGUUCAUCAACACCAGCCUGGAGAUCACAUCCUUAUCAGAAGUUGGAAAGAGGGAAAGCUCGAACCCACUUGGGAAGGACCAUACCUAGUGCUCCUCACAACUGAGACAGCAGUCCGGACCGUUGAGAGAGGAUGGACGCAUCAUACCCGGGUACCCCUCUCCAAAAUGAAGUCUCGUUCAGUCACCUAGGCUGGAGUGCAGUGGCAUGAUCUCAGCUCCCUGCAACCUCUGCCUCCCGGGUUCAAGUGAUUCCCCUGCCUCGGCCUCCUGAGUGCCUGGGACUACAGGUGUGCAGCACCAUACCCGGCUAAUUUUUGUAUUUUUAGUAGAGACGGGGUUUUGCUAUGUUGGCCAGGGUGGUCUGAAACUCCAGGCCUCAAGUGAUCUGCCUGCCUCGGUCUCCCAAAGUGCUGGGAUUACAGGCAUUAGCCACCACACCUGGCCCUAACUCAGGGUUUCUUAACCUUGGUCCUACCAUUGACAUUUGGGCUGCAUGACUCUUCAUUGUGGGGAGCUGUCGUGUGUACUGGGUGAUGACAUUUACCAUUAUCCCUAGCCUCCACUCACUUGAUGCCAGUAGCUGCAAGCCCCCAGUCAUGACAACCCAAAAUGUUACCAGACACUGCCAGGUAUCCCCUGGGGGAUAGAACCACUGAUCCAACUGAAGAACAUGCACCCUGAACUACUACACUCCAUUCCCACCCAAGAGUGCAGCUUUCAGCUCGAAGUAAGGCAGAACUUUCUAAAAAAGAUGUUAUCCAACAAUGCAACAAGUUACCUUGAGAAAGACAGUAAGCUCCCCAACAUGGGAAGCAUGAAAGAAGAGGCAACCUGGAUCUGAUUCCAAAUUAGAAAUACUCCAAACUUCCUCAAGGGCAAUGCAAUUAUUUACCUAAAUAAAGCUCAGCAACGUUGGUUUUAGAUAAAGCACCUAGUACAGUGUCUGGCAUACAUGAGGUGCUCAAUUAAUAGCAGUGGUUGUGUUUUCUUCCAUUUCUUGGUGAGCACCACCAUCCUGUACCUGGCCCAUUCAGGAUCAGAGGACUCAUCCUUGACCUUUCCUUGUUUUUCACUGUGGUGGAAGCUGCUAAUAGUCUCCUCUCAUGUCUAAGACUAGAACUCUGCUUCUCAGCUGAGUAUACAGCUGCCUGGAAUAGAAACUACAUUUCCCAGACUCCUUUGUAGCUGGGUGUGACCAUGUGACUAAAUUCCAAUGGAAUGUAAAUGCAAGUGUUGUUUGCAACUUCCAGAAAACAGCCUUAAAAUAAAGGUGUGUACUUUUCUUUGGCCUUUCAUUCUUCUAGCUGGCUGGAUUGUGGAUAUGAUGAGUAGUGCUUAAGCAGCCAUCUUGGGACCAUAAGGAAAAGCCACACAAUUAGGAAAGUGAAGCAGCCAUCGGGACAGACUUGAGGUCCCUGAUGAUCAUGGGGCUGCCAUAUCAGCGAGGACUGCCCACCUCUGGACCUCACGUCUAUUUCAUGGAAGCCAUUGUUAGCUAGUGUUUUCUAUCACAUACAGCCAACUCGAAUCCUAAUUGAUACACUGUCCCUGACUUCAAAGAGUUGAUAAAUUAGCAUGCGAAGAAAUACACAAGAUAAACAGCAUCAAAACAAUUAAAUUAAAAACCCUAGAAUUCAGCUGGGACAAACGUGGUGACUGGUAUAAGAUCAAGGCAGGUAGCUGGACAGCAGAGGGAAGAACUGCCUCUCUCAAGGCAAAAUGCGGACGUCAGAAAGGACAUCAGAGAAGAAGUGAUAUGCAAGCCAGGCUUUGAAGGAUGGGUGGAAUUUCUCCAGCAGGAAGAAAGAGGUAUUUAAGGCUCAGUAGAAGAAAGACUCAAAGUACACAGCUGAGUUUGAGGAAUUGGGAGGAGUCAUUGGAAGUGCCUAGAGCACAGAACGAUGAGUCUGGAAGCACACGCUGGGGCCAAGGUGUAAGUAAGCUUCUUUACACGUUGAUGCCAUUUCCCUGCCUGGAACAUUCUUUUGCCUUGAAACUCUUACUUGUUCCUUUCUCUUGGUAUCCUCAACUUCUAACAUGCUCCUCUUUUAUCAACUUUCUUGUGGGAUUAUCAUUCUUUAGCUGAUUCUCCUCCAACUAAAUGGGGAGCAACUCCAGGGCAUGGAGGAUGUCCACUAUUUCUGUCUCUGAAGUGCAACACCAUGGGGACAUCCCAUUCGCUGACAGCAGGGACCCUGCAUUUUCGCUUGCCAUCAUUUCUCCUGAGCCUGGCACCAGGCUGGCACAUGAUAGGUGCUCAACAGAGGUUUACUGGAUGAGCCCUGAAAAAACAAGACCCAGGGUCGGG
Molecule: long non-coding RNA, 3535 nt
Filed under: Homo sapiens (human)
Lineage: Eukaryota; Metazoa; Chordata; Mammalia; Primates; Hominidae
Description: HSALNT0051004
Source: RNAcentral